UUAUUUUUCAAGUAAGAAGAUUUUAUUAAAGUGCAAUGGUGCAACCCCCAUACACAAGUAGUAUACAUGAGAGACACCUAGCUAGAGUACUCAUUACUUGGGGUGGUGUUAUCAUUUCAUUCAAUCAAGAGGAAUCACUUGCUUCAAAUUUGAGCAUACUUGGAAGAACUGUUUGUGAGCCUUGAUCCAAUCACAGCAUGGAUUUUGGCGCAGUUUAUGGAAUGCGGAGGGCAUUUAGUGAAGGGGACAUGCUAAAGAGAUGAGUGACGAUGCACAUGAAAUUGAAGCUAAAGAAAAUCAUGCUCAACGUUCAGUUCCCCGAUUGAAUGAGAGAAUCCUUUCAUCUUUGUGAAGGAGAUCAGUUGCUGCACACCCUUGGCAUGAUCUCGAGAUUGGCAAGUUGUGAGCUUUAUCUUUUGGGAAUCCCCACCAAAAAUUCCUGAAGCUUGUGUCGAGGGCCUUGCACACUGAUUUUGGGAGUUGAAAAGAGCUCAUAUGGUAGAAUGGGAUGUGCUUGCCACUGACCUGAUCAACAUUGUUCUUCCUGCCCAUGAUAAGAGCUUUGAUUUCCAACCUUCUAGUUUUUCCCCACUUUGCUCAACAUUUCUCUAUAGCUCUCUCUUUUAAUUUUGUUAAAAAGGUUGGUAGGCCCAAGUAUUUCAUUCUACCUCCUCUUUCCCACCUCAGUCACUUAUCUAUUGAUCCAAUUUAAUAAAAACUUUCUUCCCACUAGCAUCAUAUACAAGUGGUAAUUGUUUAAUUCCUCAAGUUCUGUACUAAAUCAUGAACUAUUAAAUGCAUGCUUAGUGUCGGAUCAAGAAUCAUGUCCUCUCAUCCUGCUUGUCCUAGCUAGAUUACCAUGUAGAUCAAGAAUCAUCAAUAUUAGAUUGUAAUGAUGUUUGCAAGCACACUUUCUAUUAUCUUAAUUUCAUUAUAUAUUUUUUUUAUAA
Long non-coding RNA from Juglans regia (Persian walnut), 950 nucleotides. RefSeq lists it as uncharacterized. The transcript is spliced from 3 exons. The record is from RefSeq and is a predicted model, not a curated record. Lineage: Eukaryota; Viridiplantae; Streptophyta; Magnoliopsida; Fagales; Juglandaceae.